GCUUGUCUCAAAGAUUAAGCCAUGCAUGUCUUAGUGUAAAUAACUCUUAUGAAACUGCGAAUGGCUCAUUAAAUCAGUUAUCGUUUAUUUGAUGGUCCCUUACUACAUGGAUAACCGUAGUAAUUCUAGAGCUAAUACAUGCGUCAGCACCCAACUUUACGGAAGGGUCGUGUUUAUUAGAUACAAAACCAACAUCUCGUUGGUGACUCAUAAUAACCAAGCGAAUCGUCGGUUUACCGACGAUAGAUCGUUCAAGUUUCUGACCUAUCAGCUUUCGACGGUAGUGUAUUGGACUACCGUGGCUAUGACGGGUAACGGAGAAUUAGGGUUCGAUUCCGGAGAGGGAGCCUGAGAAACGGCUACCACAUCUAAGGAAGGCAGCAGG
RNAcentral lists this ribosomal RNA (385 nucleotides) under uncultured Prorocentrum. RNAcentral describes it as "partial small subunit ribosomal RNA". It matches the Rfam family "Eukaryotic small subunit ribosomal RNA", at positions 30 to 432 of the family's 1831-position model. The record is from RNAcentral. Lineage: Eukaryota; Dinophyceae; Prorocentrales; Prorocentraceae.